RNAcentral lists this transfer RNA (91 nucleotides) under Holosporales bacterium. Its description in RNAcentral is "tRNA-Ser". It matches the Rfam family "tRNA". Rfam says of the family: Transfer RNA (tRNA) molecules are approximately 80 nucleotides in length. Their secondary structure includes four short double-helical elements and three loops (D, anti-codon, and T loops). Lineage: Bacteria; Pseudomonadati; Pseudomonadota; Alphaproteobacteria; Holosporales. The record is from RNAcentral.
GGAGAGAUGGCCGAGCGGCUGAAGGCGCUCGCUUGGAAAGCGAGUAUAUGUUAAUAACAUAUCGGGGGUUCGAAUCCCCCUCUCUCCGCCA